GCAUAUCAAUAAGCGGAGGAAAAGAAACUAACAAGGAUUCCCCUAGUAACGGCGAGUGAACAGGGAAGAGCUCAAAUUUGUAAUCUGGCGUCCCUUGGGCGUCCGAGUUGUAAUCUAUAGAAGCGUUUUCCGUGCUGGACCAUGUCCAAGUCCCUUGGAACAGGGUAUCAAAGAGGGUGACAAUCCCGUGCUUGACAUGACGACCAGUGCUCUGUGAUACGCUCUCUACGAGUCGAGUUGUUUGGGAAUGCAGCUCAAAAUGGGUGGUGAGUUCCAUCUAAAGCUAAAUAUUGGCGAGAGACCGAUAGCGAACAAGUACCGUGAGGGAAAGAUGAAAAGCACUUUGGAAAGAGAGUUAAACAGUACGUGAAAUUGUUGAAAGGGAAACGAUUGAAGUCAGUCGUGUCCGAGGGGUUCAGCCGGUCAUGCCGGUGUAUUCCCCUCGGAUGGGUCAACGUCAGUUUGGACCGGUGGAAAAGGGCAGUUGGAAGGUGGCAGCUCCGGCUGUGUUAUAGCCUUCUGUCGCACACGCCGGUCUAGACUGAGGCAUGCAGCUCGCCCUCGUGGCUGGGGUUCUCCCACAUUCGAGCUUAGGAUGUUGACAUAAUGGCUUUAAACGACCCGUCUUGAAACACGGACC
This 640-nucleotide ribosomal RNA is filed under the name Kockovaella mexicana. Its description in RNAcentral is "eukaryotic LSU rRNA". It matches the Rfam family "Eukaryotic large subunit ribosomal RNA", at positions 38 to 667 of the family's 3401-position model. Lineage: Eukaryota; Fungi; Basidiomycota; Tremellomycetes; Tremellales; Cuniculitremaceae. The record is from RNAcentral.